This 132-nucleotide small RNA is filed under the name Alteromonas sp. 38. RNAcentral's name for it is "rimP". It matches the Rfam family "Gammaprotebacteria rimP leader". The record is from RNAcentral. Lineage: Bacteria; Pseudomonadati; Pseudomonadota; Gammaproteobacteria; Alteromonadales; Alteromonadaceae. RNAcentral also lists the same sequence under 1 other name.
UUGUCUUUGUGACAGAUAUGGGUUCAGAAUUUUAAUAAAAGCCCCGCUAGUCCGGGGCUUUUUGUUGUAUUAGACCCUGGAGUCAGCCUAGCUGAGCUAGGUGAUGACAGGUGGGCUUAAGGCCCUUUUUUC